This 584-nucleotide long non-coding RNA is filed under the name Physcomitrium patens. Its description in RNAcentral is "long non-coding RNA (PPAT_LNC002981)". Lineage: Eukaryota; Viridiplantae; Streptophyta; Bryopsida; Funariales; Funariaceae. The record is from RNAcentral.
ACUCUGCUGCUUGUUGUUGAUAUGGAAAAUAUGGAGCAUAUCUUUUUUCACGUUUCAUGGUAUAGCUUGCAAUAGGGUGACAUUAACUGGCCCAUGAAUAUGGGCACUGGAAUUGACCACUGUUUCUAACAUACGUGGAUAAUUAUCUACUAAUCCGUUUCAAGUCGGAUUUUGAUAGUUGUCUUGAACUGGAAUCAUCGUGGCACCCUUAGUUAAAAAUUGAUCAUAAUGGCAUUCCUUCCAAACCUUGGUUCUAUUAAAAGAUGCAGUUAUCAUAUUUUACAAACAUUUUUAAAUCGGAUGGGUGUAAUCCGUUGAUUAAUAUGGAUAAUACAAAAGCCUUUGGUAUUUGGUCAUUUAGCCACUUGUAGAGUAUAUCUGCCACACAACUAUAAUAUGAUUCCAUUGCCUUUCUUGGAUCCAUUUUGUAAGUCAUUAAUCUUUCUCGAAGUCGAUCCUCAAAUCCAAUUGAAUGAAAAUGGAUUAAAAAUACAUUCUUCAAUGCUUCCCAAUUGAAAAAUUGAUCCAUAGGUUGACGGUUGUACCAUUCAAACACCGUGUCCUUCAAGGUUGUUGACAACCAU